RNAcentral lists this unclassified non-coding RNA (336 nucleotides) under soil metagenome. RNAcentral describes it as "partial contains 5.8S ribosomal RNA, internal transcribed spacer 2, and large subunit ribosomal RNA". The stretch from base 1 to 120 matches the Rfam family "5.8S ribosomal RNA", at positions 35 to 154 of the family's 154-position model. The record is from RNAcentral.
GAUGAAGAACGCAGUAAAAUGCGAUAAGUAAUGUGAAUUGCAGAAUUCAGUGAAUCAUCGAAUCUUUGAACGCACAUUGCGCCCGCCAGUAUUCUGGCGGGCAUGCCUGUUCGAGCGUCAUUUCAACCCUCAAGCCCCCGGCUUGUGUUGGGGACCUGCGGCUGCCGCAGGCCCUGAAAAGCAGUGGCGGGCUCGCUGUCACACCGAGCGUAGUAGCAUACAUCUCGCUCUGGGCGUGCUGCGGGUUCCGGCCGUUAAACCACCUUCAUAACCCAAGGUUGACCUCGGAUCAGGUAGGAAGACCCGCUGAACUUAAGCAUAUCAAUAAGCGGAGGA